This 283-nucleotide unclassified non-coding RNA is filed under the name Hevea brasiliensis (rubber tree). Lineage: Eukaryota; Viridiplantae; Streptophyta; Magnoliopsida; Malpighiales; Euphorbiaceae. The record is from RNAcentral.
GGGGAUGACACCCCCCUGCAUCUGGCAGCCAGUCAUGGACACCGUGAUAUUGUACAGAAGCUAUUGCAGUACAAGGCAGACAUCAAUGCAGUGAAUGAACACGGGAAUGUGCCCCUGCACUAUGCCUGUUUUUGGGGCCAAGAUCAAGUGGCAGAGGACCUGGUGGCAAAUGGGGCCCUUGUCAGCAUCUGUAACAAGUAUGGAGAGAUGCCUGUGGACAAAGCCAAGGCACCCCUGAGAGAGCUUCUCCGAGAGCGGGCAGAGAAGAUGGGCCAGAAUCUCA